Long non-coding RNA from Oreochromis aureus, 588 nucleotides. RefSeq lists it as uncharacterized. The record is from RefSeq and is a predicted model, not a curated record. Lineage: Eukaryota; Metazoa; Chordata; Actinopteri; Cichliformes; Cichlidae. The transcript is spliced from 3 exons.
UGAACGCCUGUGGAACUUGUUAAAUGUCUAAGUGUUUUUAGAGUUAUGUAGUGACAGUAAGACAGAGUGAGUGCUGAGCACCUCAGCUUUGGAAGUCUUAAAGGAUUGUUGGAAACUGUGGAGUUGACUACGGUGGCAAAAUCCCACUCUUGCUCCUAGGUUAACAGUGACAUCAGCUCUGAAGUGGUCCAGAGGCUCAUUAAAUCAGAGGAAACAGGCUCCUCUGGAUGGAUUGAUUAAAUAAGACGUAACUACCAACUGAGACCAGGAAAAGGUUCACUAAGCUCAUCGAAGGAAGCCAAAGAGGUUUCCCACAGACUUCCCUGCAAUCUCUGUUGUUUUUGUAAUCUGAGGAGUCGCCCCCUGCUGGCUAUUAAGAACACUACACAUUUAAGAUGCUUCCACAGUGAAUAAAACUGACAUUUCCAUUCACAGAUAUAUUUAGUUGUUUUUAAUGCUAAUUAUGUCUCUUGAACAAUGUUGCUGAUCUGAGCUGAACUUCUAAAUGUAAUUAUUACUUCUUCAGUGUUGUUAGCAUUGUUGUAGACUGCUCUCGCUGGCUUUAAUUUUAUGCUCUAACAAUUGAAA